This 429-nucleotide long non-coding RNA is filed under the name Fukomys damarensis (Damara mole-rat). Its description in RNAcentral is "lncRNA (ENSFDAG00000033460.1)". The record is from RNAcentral. Lineage: Eukaryota; Metazoa; Chordata; Mammalia; Rodentia; Bathyergidae.
CUUUUUGCAGAGUUUAAACUAAAGUAUGAAUUUAAACUUCCAGUCCCAGCCAGAGGACAGCAGCCACAAGGCCAAGGACACCCUCCCAUUCCUGCGCCCCAGAAAUGGAGCCCCUUGUUGCCUCCUUUGGCCUUCUACCUACCCCCUGCUUCUAAAGGAUGGACAUCUAAAAAUUUUGAUCACACCUGAUCGAGAGGCUGCCACUUCCAAGCCCCACCAUCCAUCAAGCAACUGAAAAAUAACAACUCCUCAAAAAGUUGAUAGACAGCAGCUUAUGUGACAUUAACAGCGUGUGGAAACUUGCUGAGAUCUACGAAAUAAGUGUGAAAACUACAUGCCUAAUAUGGCUCUCGCAAAAGAAGGCUUAGCCCAGGACUUGGGAAAACAUGCAGGGCUCCCAGUUAAUCCCAGACCACCGGAGAUGCCCAC